This 439-nucleotide ribosomal RNA is filed under the name uncultured Megasphaera sp. RNAcentral describes it as "bacterial SSU rRNA". It matches the Rfam family "Bacterial small subunit ribosomal RNA", at positions 338 to 769 of the family's 1533-position model. The record is from RNAcentral. Lineage: Bacteria; Bacillati; Bacillota; Negativicutes; Veillonellales; Veillonellaceae.
CCUACGGGAGGCAGCAGUGGGGAAUCUUCCGCAAUGGACGAAAGUCUGACGGAGCAACGCCGCGUGAACGAUGACGGCCUUCGGGUUGUAAAGUUCUGUUAUACGGGACGAAUGGCGUAGCGGUCAAUACCCGUUACGAGUGACGGUACCGUAAGAGAAAGCCACGGCUAACUACGUGCCAGCAGCCGCGGUAAUACGUAGGUGGCAAGCGUUGUCCGGAAUUAUUGGGCGUAAAGGGCGCGCAGGCGGCGUCGUAAGUCGGUCUUAAAAGUGCGGGGCUUAACCCCGUGAGGGGACCGAAACUGCGAUGCUAGAGUAUCGGAGAGGAAAGCGGAAUUCCUAGUGUAGCGGUGAAAUGCGUAGAUAUUAGGAGGAACACCAGUGGCGAAAGCGGCUUUCUGGACGACAACUGACGCUGAGGCGCGAAAGCCAGGGGAGC